UACGUAGGUGGCAAGCGUUGUCCGGAUUUACUGGGCGUAAAGAGCGCGCAGGCGGUUUAUCCAGUCGAAUUUUAACGCCCCCGGCUCACCUGGGGAGGGUCAUUCGAUACUGCUCGACUUGAAGGCAGGAGAGGGAAGUGGAAUUCCCGGUGUAGUGGUGAAAUGCGUAGAUAUCGGGAGGAACACCAGUGGCGAAGGCGACUUCCUGGCCUGUUCUUGACGCUGAGGCGCGAAAGCUGGGGGAGCAAACGGG
Molecule: ribosomal RNA, 253 nt
Filed under: uncultured bacterium
Lineage: Bacteria
Description: partial 16S ribosomal RNA
Rfam family: Bacterial small subunit ribosomal RNA
Source: RNAcentral